Molecule: long non-coding RNA, 943 nt
Organism: Panonychus citri (citrus red mite)
Lineage: Eukaryota; Metazoa; Arthropoda; Arachnida; Trombidiformes; Tetranychidae
Exons: 2
Source: RefSeq, a predicted model, not a curated record
UCUCAAUAUGAUUUUGAUAUUAACUAAAGAUUAGUCUUAUCAUUUGUGGAAAAUAUAAAAAUAAAUCGCUAAUUAACUCAUUUGAUUGCUGUUCAUUUUCUCGGUAACUUGAAUUGAUCAUAAUUUUACUUUGUAUUUCCUUGGAUCAGAUUCACUAAAUCAUUUUAUCGAAAUGGAUCUAAAAGUUUUAACUGUCGCUCUUUUCUACUUGGGAAUCAAUGUGAUUUACUGUACAAACCCGAUCGAAGAUUCUGUUUGGCUUGAAGCGGCUGCUGACAAAUAUAAUCCAGCUGGUGAAAUCCUUGAUCCGAAAACGAAUUGACCACAAGAUUGGACAAAUAGAACUGGUCAAAUCUUCUGUUGGAAUCAAUAAAAAACAAGUUGAGCUUUGUGACAAUACAAUCAAAGGCUUAAAAAGCGUCAAAACUGGUCUUCAGUUUAUGGACCAAACUGAAAGUAUCUAUGGGGGCGAAAGUAGCGACCAAAUACUCAAAGGUUACAUUAAGCAAUUCGCUAAAUUGACAGAAACUUUUAAUAAAGAAUUGGAAUCACUUCGAAUUCUGAUCUAACGAAAGACACUCCGUCGGCGAUUAUUGAUCUUCUAGCAACCUCUUGCAAUAGCUGCCAGAAUAAAGCUUUGAGCUCGAUUAAUAUUUACAGAACUGAUAUCGAAUCGAAAAGUUUAACUGCCGAAAAUGAUCUUCUUCGGACUUAUGGAAACGCUGCUAAACGGCAACUAUCUUCUCUUUACGAUGUUAUUAAAGUCGGAAAUUCUGAUCUGAAAGCAGAAAUGUACCACUUGAAAGAAAUAUUAUUCUCUUUCUACCGACAAUAUGAAAUUCUAAUUGCACAAUAAAUGUCACGUUAAAAUAACCACUGGUCAAUAUGCUUUGUCUUAUCAAAUAAAAAGUAUUAAUAUUAAAAAUAAUUUCAUAAAACUGGA